RNAcentral lists this ribosomal RNA (370 nucleotides) under Staphylococcus aureus. RNAcentral describes it as "bacterial SSU rRNA". It matches the Rfam family "Bacterial small subunit ribosomal RNA", at positions 1 to 358 of the family's 1533-position model. The record is from RNAcentral. Lineage: Bacteria; Bacillati; Bacillota; Bacilli; Caryophanales; Staphylococcaceae.
AUUUUAUGGAGAGUUUGAUCCUGGCUCAGGAUGAACGCUGGCGGCGUGCCUAAUACAUGCAAGUCGAGCGAACGGACGAGAAGCUUGCUUCUCUGAUGUUAGCGGCGGACGGGUGAGUAACACGUGGAUAACCUACCUAUAAGACUGGGAUAACUUCGGGAAACCGGAGCUAAUACCGGAUAAUAUUUUGAACCGCAUGGUUCAAAAGUGAAAGACGGUCUUGCUGUCACUUAUAGAUGGAUCCGCGCUGCAUUAGCUAGUUGGUAAGGUAACGGCUUACCAAGGCAACGAUGCAUAGCCGACCUGAGAGGGUGAUCGGCCACACUGGAACUGAGACACGGUCCAGACUCCUACGGGAGGCAGCAGUAGG